GAUGAACGCUGGCGGCGUGCUUAACACAUGCAAGUCGAACGAGUGGCGAACGGGUGAGUAACACGUGGGUGAUCUGCCUUGUACUUCGGGAUAAGCCUGGGAAACUGGGUCUAAUACCGGAUAGUACGAGAUGCGCCCGCGGCCUGUCAUCGUGUUGGUGGGGUAAUGGCUACCAAGGCGCGACGGGUAGCCGGCCUGAGAGGGUGUACGGCACCGUUGGGACUGAGACAGGGCCCAGAAGCGGAGGGGAGGGGGCAGUGGGGAAUAUUGCACAAUAGGCGGAGGCCGGAUGCAGCGAAGCCGCGUGGGGGAUGACGGCCUUCGGGUUGUAAACCUCUUUCGCUAGGGAAGCGGUACCUGGAUAAGAAGCACCGGCUAACUACGUGCCAGCAGCCGCGGUAAUUC
This 405-nucleotide ribosomal RNA is filed under the name uncultured bacterium. RNAcentral describes it as "partial 16S ribosomal RNA". It matches the Rfam family "Bacterial small subunit ribosomal RNA", at positions 28 to 526 of the family's 1533-position model. The record is from RNAcentral.